GAAAAAAAUGGACUUAGUGGGUCUUUGAAUUUAAAUAAAAUAAACAUGUAUAUGCAAGACAAAAUAUUUAUAUUCCUUGUGUAAACAUAAUUUAAUUGAUUAGGAUUAAAAUGUUUUGUUUGAAUGUAAAAUGAACACAUUAUUCUCACAUUGAUUAAAAUUGAUUGAAUUGAAUACUUAAAACAAUAAAAUUGGGUUUGGACACAAAACGGCACCUCCUGAGCAGCAGGGGCAGUAUAGCUCAUUGAGAAGGACAUCGAUUGCCAUAAAAGAAGAAUAAAGAUCGUUUUUUUGGGCGCCAAAAUGAAGACUACAGUAAGCACAGCAGUCACUGCCAGUCAGUCAGAAGAACUCUCUCAGACGGACACCACGUUAUUAAAGUCCAUCAUCCUUGCAUGCGCUACACAGCAUUGAUAAAUGCUGAAUUUGAAAGAAUCACUACUGUCUAAUGUUCCUGUGUCACCUGGACCUCCAAUCCAAAAACCUGACGAAACUCUUCUAUCAGAAAGGAGGACAGCUAGCAAAAAGGCUUCAAACAAUCAAUGAUCAAAUGACAGAUGGCAUGGAUGAAGUCAGCAUCAGUGAGGUCAUUUGAAGACACCAAUGUUGGGAUUUGUGCUCUCAAACAACCUGCUUCUUGUGAUGAAGAAGAGGAUCUUUGUAUAGUCCUGGAAGGCAUGAAGGUGUUGCAACAUCGUGCCAUGUUGUUUGAGCUGAUGUAUGCCUUAAACCUGAGCUAUCCUGAUCUCCGCUUUAUUUUUGAGGAAAUCCAAAAGAUUUUAAUGGAACUGCAUUGAGAGUAGUCUCAGCCUCAGAAGUCACGCCCACAAACUGUUGGCUGAACGUCUGAUGUUUUUCGUACACUUUUCUGGAAACCCUGUGAGAAUGUUAAAGUCGUCUUUGAUUGGUUGAAAAAAAACGGAUUUCCAGGAGAUGCGAGUGUCGCGAUUAGUUUCGGUCCCUGGAAAACAAGGCUCUGACGUUCCCGUUGAGGAAGAGAAUCAGUCGUGUUCACGUGGAUAAUAAUGAGCAGUUAUCAUGAUCAGCUAAACAUUGGAUUUUCAAAAAUAUGCAAAGUUCGCGGCAUCGACUCUCUAAAAGAUGUCCAAGAGUUUUGCUUGAGGCAGUUAGUUGAGUCAAAAAGUUUGGUUCUCCUGAAUUGCUUGUAUGUGUUAAAAAGUAGAGAGAUAUGCUUCAAACAGACGUUUAACGGGAGCAUCUCAUUGGUGUGGCUGUUGAUGAAGUGCACAACGUUGUUCUAUGGUGAGUAAUGUUGUUUAUUUAGAUGCUAUUCGGUUGCGACUGGUUAUUUCAAAACCUGACUUGUUGCCAGCCGGCUCGUUAUUGUAGUCCAAAACGUGACGCUAGAUGAAACAAACUGUGAUUGGUUGUUUGAUAUGUCGGUCAAACAGCUCGUGGGCGGGCUUUGUCCAGAAAAAGCAGCGAAAAACACCAGACCUUCAGUAUUGAAGGUCUGGCUACGCGAGACUACAUUGAGAGUAACUUUAACGAACAGUUUCUUUCAGUGAAAGGAUCAGAAAGACUGUGCUGCUCAUUUUUGACUUUGUUUAUCUGUUUUAAGUGUUUUCUCUUAUUAAUACAUCAACCGUUUGCUGCUCAUAGUCGAUUUUGGAAAUGGUUGUUGUAUUUUGUUUUUGUUGAAUCUAUGAUUAACAGUUUAUACAAAUGCUGUAGCUCUGACUUUCUGAAGGAUUGAUAUUUUCCAGUUUGUAAAUCCAUUUUAUAAAUAAUAGUACUUACUGUUUUGCAUGUCUCUUUGGAAUGCAGUGUUUGUGCUUUAGCACUUCUAAAUCUACUGUGAUAGUAACUAUUUUAAACAUUUGGGUCAGUUUCAUCCUAAUAUAACUAGGGCCUAGUCAUGAAUUAAUCUACAACCUGUUUGGGAAAUUGCCCCUUUAUGUAUGUACUGCAUGUGCUGAUUGUUGUAAUAGUUAUUGACUGUUAUUGAAUUAAUGUGUAGUGAUUUAAAUGAAUUGAUGAUCUGAAAGCAGUGGUUUGCCUCAAUAUCACUAAACAUUUGUACAAAACUCUUCACUUUUUAUGCCAAUGCAAAUGUAUUUUGUAUUUAAAAAGAAAUAAAUAACAUUUGGAUAA
Misgurnus anguillicaudatus (oriental weatherfish) is the source of this 2115-nucleotide non-coding RNA. The record is from RefSeq and is a predicted model, not a curated record. Lineage: Eukaryota; Metazoa; Chordata; Actinopteri; Cypriniformes; Cobitidae.